Small nuclear RNA from Schistocerca piceifrons (Central American locust), 139 nucleotides. RefSeq annotates it as U4 spliceosomal RNA. The record is from RefSeq and is a predicted model, not a curated record. The transcript has a single exon. NCBI's taxonomy places the organism in Eukaryota, Metazoa, Arthropoda, Insecta, Orthoptera, Acrididae.
ACAUUUUCACAGUGGUAUUGUCAUGACCAGUGAAGUAUGACUGAGGUGUGGUUAUUGCUCAUUGAGGGCUUUUACCAAUACCCCGCCGAAGAGACAUGAAAUACUGUCUCUGUGCAAUUUUUGGCAGCUCCUACGUGGG